GACGAACGCUGGCGGCGUGCCUAAUACAUGCAAGUAGAACGCUGAAGGAGGAGCUUGCUUCUCUGGAUGAGUUGCGAACGGGUGAGUAACGCGUAGGUAACCUGCCUGGUAGCGGGGGAUAACUAUUGGAAACGAUAGCUAAUACCGCAUAACAGUAGAUAUCGCAUGAUAUCUACUUGAAAGGUGCAAUUGCAUCACUACCAGAUGGACCUGCGUUGUAUUAGCUAGUUGGUGAGGUAACGGCUCACCAAGGCGACGAUACAUAGCCGACCUGAGAGGGCGAUCGGCCACACUGGGACUGAGACACGGCCCAGACUCCUACGGGAGGCAGCAGUAGGGAAUCUUCGGCAAUGGACGGAAGUCUGACCGAGCAACGCCGCGUGAGUGAAGAAGGUUGUCGGAUCGUAAAGCUCUGUUGUAAGAGAAGAACGAGUGUGAGAGUGGAAAGUUCACACUGUGACGGUAUCUUACCAGAAAGGGACGGCUAACUACGUG
RNAcentral lists this ribosomal RNA (495 nucleotides) under uncultured bacterium. RNAcentral's name for it is "partial 16S ribosomal RNA". It matches the Rfam family "Bacterial small subunit ribosomal RNA", at positions 28 to 507 of the family's 1533-position model. The record is from RNAcentral.